UAAUAGGAAAUUAAGAGCAUAUGGCGGAUGCCUUGGUUCUACAUGGCGAUGAAAGACGUGAUAUGGCUGCGAUAAGCUUCGGGGAGGUGCCUAAUAACCUUUGAUCCGGAGAUGUCUGAAUGGGGAAACCUAAUAGAGUAAACCUCUAUUAUCUUGGUCCGUAAGAGAUCAAGAUGCGCACCUCGGGAAGUGAAACAUCUCAGUACCGAGAGGAAAAGAAAACAAUGUGGUGUAUACCACGAUAUUCCCCAAGUAGCGGCGAGCGAAAAGGGAACAGCCCAAACCGGAGCAUCACUGAGUGCGCGAUUGAUAUAGAUUUAUUUAUUGAUUUCGUGUGCUCUGUGAUGUUCCGGGGUUGUAAGGCAGUGAGUCUCGUUUUACGAGAAAAGUUACAAAAUGUAUGUAUAGAAAAAGUUGUUGGAAACCAACACCAUAGUGGGUGAUAGUCCCGUAUUCGAAAUGCAUAUAUCUUUUUAUCACUGUUCUUGAGUACUUCAGGACACGAAUAGCUUGAAGGAAUCCACCAGAACUAACUGGUAAGGCUAAAUACAUUGUAGAAACCGAUAGUGAACUAGUACCGUGAGGGAAAGGUGAAAAGUACUCCGAGAGGAGGGUGAAAUAGUACUGAAACCAUAUGCUUACAAGGAGUCGGAGCGGGUAUUUAUAUCCGUCACGGCGUGCCUAUUGAAGAAUGAGCCAACGAGUUUAUGUGUGCGGCUUGGCUAAGGAGUACAGCUCCGGAGCCACAGCGAAAGCAAGUGUUAAUAGCGCGUCUGCCCCUCGGGGCGGUCGUACACAUAAGACCCGAAGCCAGGUGAGCUAUCCAUGAGCAGGGUGAAGUUUGACGAAAGUCAGAUGGAGGCCCGAACCGGUAGAUCGUACAACGUCUUCGGAUGACUUGUGGAUUGGAGUGAAAAGCUAAUCGAACCUGGUAAUAGCUGGUUCUCUCCGAAAUAGCUUUAGGGUUAGCGUCACGCGUUCCCAUAGGGGGUAGAGCACUGGAAGGUUUCGACAGGGAGCAAUCUCGCGACACCUAUCAAACUCCGAAUACCUAUGGUCAAGUAGCGUGGCAGUUAGUCUACGGGGGCUAAGCUCCGUUAGACAAAAGGGAAACAGCCCAGAUCUCUAAUUAAGGUCCCUAAAUAUAUACUAAGUACAUACUAAGGAUGUGAGAUUUCUCUGACAAUGAGGAAGUUGGCUUAGAAGCAGCCAUCUUUUAAAGAAAGCGUAACAGCUCACUCAUCAAGAGAUCUUGCGCCGCAGAUAAUCGGGGUUAAGUAUAUUACCGAAGUUGAGGGCUUGUAGAUUUAAUAAAGGAAGAUAAAAAUAUGUCCGGGAGAGUCUAUUGUAUCGAAGUUGAAUUGUCUGAAAAACAAACUAAUAAGUUAUCUAAUUGAUAUUUAACAUAUUAGAAAAACAACUGAGACGCAAUUAUUAGACGGGGGUUCGUAGCCCUCCCCGGACACAAAUUUUGGAAGUAUUUCUUCCUUCUUUUAUUAAAUCUACAAGCGGUAGGAGAGUAUUCUGUUCUCGCUGUGAAGCUAAAGGCGUGAGCCAUAGUGGAGCGUACAGAAGUAAGAAUGUUGGCACAAGUAACCGCAAGCAGGGUGAGAUCCCCUGCCGUCGAAAGAUCAAGGUUUCCUGGGCAAUGGUGAUCAUCCCAGGGUUAGUCGGGUCCUAAGGUCAUGGCGAAAGCCGCAGUCGAUGGACAUAAGGUUAAUAUUCCUUAACUUCUUAUACAAUCGAAGGAGGGACGAAGUGUAGUAAUGUGGGCCACUUAUUGGAUUGUGGUAGACAUGUCGCGUAUCAGAGAUAGGCAAAUCCGUUUCUGUGUCUUUAAUGACAAAUAUCAAACAUGGAUCGUGCAGAGGUUCGCCCGAGCGGAGUCACAUGAGCACGCUUCCAAGAAAAGCUUCUAAGAUUAUUGUAUGAGAACCCGUACCGCAAACCGACACAGGUGAUCAGGUCGAGUAGACCAAGACGAACGAGUGAGAGGUCCUCAAGGAACUCGGCAAAAAAGCAGCCGUAACUUCGGAAUAAGGCUUCCCCAUGUUUACAUGGGGCGCAGCGAAAGUAUCUCUGGCAACUGUUUA
RNAcentral lists this ribosomal RNA (2093 nucleotides) under Minisyncoccota bacterium. RNAcentral's name for it is "partial 23S ribosomal RNA". It matches the Rfam family "Bacterial large subunit ribosomal RNA", at positions 1 to 1806 of the family's 2925-position model. The record is from RNAcentral. Lineage: Bacteria; Bacillati; Minisyncoccota.